UACGUAGGGGGCAAGCGUUGUCCGGAAUCAUUGGGCGUAAAGAGCGUGUAGGCGGUCCGGUCAGUCGGUUGUAAAAGUCAAGGGCUCAACCCUUGAAUGCCGGCCGAUACUGCCGGGCUAGAGUCCGGAAGAGGUGAGUGGAAUUCCUGGUGUAGCGGUGAAAUGCGCAGAUAUCAGGAGGAACACCAAUGGCGAAGGCAGCUCACUGGGACGGUACUGACGCUGAGACGCGAAAGCGUGGGGAGCGAACAGG
This 253-nucleotide ribosomal RNA is filed under the name uncultured bacterium. Its description in RNAcentral is "partial 16S ribosomal RNA". It matches the Rfam family "Bacterial small subunit ribosomal RNA", at positions 524 to 776 of the family's 1533-position model. The record is from RNAcentral.